AUAAACCGUCUGAAGGACUGCCUUAAAAAUAACCUCGCCUCCUGCUCCUUGCCCAGCCCCACUCAAUGGCCAUCCCGGCUGCAUCACUCAAAAGUACAUCUGGAUUCACAGACCUGAACCCUUUGAUCCUACCAAGGCUGCCUCUGCAACUGGGGCUGUGCAGGCUCCCAUCGAUCUGAAUGAGAAAGGCUUUGUUGCAGUGCGUCCUCACCCUGAACUCUGGCUUCUACUUCCGUACACAUUUGUAAUUCCCUGGCCCUGGGCUGGAGAGCACAAGCCUCUGGCUCACCAGAACAGCCUGAUACAGCUGGAGCAAUGGAUCCGGAGGCACAGCCAUCCUUCUUGAAUCGCCAUCUCACAGCUGGCCAGCUUUCUUCUGGGCAACGAGGAGCAAGAUGGAGCUCAACAUUGCACUACCUUCAUCUGGAGCCCCAGAUUGACCUCAUUCGAUUCAAUAGCAAUUCUGUUCUUACUUUAACAGCAGCUGGAUUGAGCAUUUAUAAGAACCUGCCUUUCAUUUAGAGUUGAGAGAGCGACAGAAAUCCCUUGGCCUGGGCUGCUCAUCAGCCCAAGCCUAAGUCUUAGGGUGGAAACACAGGAGAUAUGGAUGAGUGGAACGUAACACUGUACAGCAAAAAGGAGAAACGAGCAGCAAGUAUAGUAGGGCAAACCCUUCAUCUUACAGAAUAAUGAAAAAGCUGUAGGAUCUUUGCAGCCUAUCUUGUUAUCAUCAGCCACUGUGCUCCAAAUCAAACACGUCGGCCUGCAGACCACAGCUAGUCAACUGCAGGCAACAGAGCAAGUUGCAAAAACAGUGUGCAGGUUACUGAAGUUUUCACAUAUAUUUUAAUACUUGUGCAAGGCAGAAGGAGGUAUUUUAUACCCAGAUGAAGAGAACAAGCACAUGCUUGCAUGCUCAGACCCAAAAGGCAAUCCUUCCUCCACAGCAUGUAACCCUGGAGAGGCCAAUGGCACAGUCAGCCUGGUUGGGUAGCCAGCCCGUCUGGGAAUUUGGUGUUUGAAUACCAGAACUGUCUGCUCUCUGAAAGGCAGGGUGUGACCAGGGCUUUCACUCUACUUAGGUUUUAAAAUAAAAUUUCUUUAGAACGGCAAAAAUUCACACAGACAGCAAGUUGGAGCAGAACUUUUGAAAGUGAUCCAGUUCCUACAAAUUAGUGGCAGAACUGCUGAGGGGU
Gallus gallus (chicken) is the source of this 1196-nucleotide long non-coding RNA. Lineage: Eukaryota; Metazoa; Chordata; Aves; Galliformes; Phasianidae. The record is from Ensembl.